Molecule: ribosomal RNA, 425 nt
Filed under: uncultured eukaryote
Lineage: Eukaryota
Description: eukaryotic LSU rRNA
Rfam family: Eukaryotic large subunit ribosomal RNA
Source: RNAcentral
CUCCGAAGUUUCCCUCAGGAUAGCUGGAACUUUUAUAAAAUAGUUUUAUCAGGUAAAGCGAAUGAUUAGAAGCUCUGGGGAUGAAACAUCCUCGACUUAUUCUCAAACUUUAAAUAGGUAAGAAGACUGCAGUACUUAAUUGACUGUCAGUCUCUUGAAUAGUAAGUUCUUAGUGGGCCAUUUUUGGUAAGCAGAACUGGCGAUGUGGGAUGAACCAAACGUAAAGUUAAAGUGCCUAAAAAUACGUUCAUCAGAUACCACAAAAGGUGUUGAUUCAUCUUGACAGUUGGACAGUGGCCAUGGAAGUCGGAAUCUGCUAAGGAGUGUGUAACAACUCACCAACCGAAUGAAUUAGCCCUGAAAAUGGAUGGCGCUUAAACGUAUUACUUAUACUUUACCAUUAAAAUAAAUAGCUAAAUUUUAAU